AAGAACCCCGGCGAGGGGAGUGAAAAAGAACCUGAAACCGUGUACGUACAAGCAGUGGGAGCCCCACCACUAAGCCAGUGGUGAACUCCACAUACGCAUCCUUUGCUGAGGAUACGGUUAACGGAGCGAAAGCGACGUUCAACCGCAAAAGAAGCAGAGGGGGCUUAGUGGUGGGGUGACUGCGUACCUUUUGUAUAAUGGGUCAGCGACUUAUAUUCUGUAGCAAGGUUAACCGAA
RNAcentral lists this ribosomal RNA (237 nucleotides) under Salmonella enterica. RNAcentral describes it as "partial 23S ribosomal RNA". It matches the Rfam family "Bacterial large subunit ribosomal RNA", at positions 519 to 654 of the family's 2925-position model. The record is from RNAcentral. Lineage: Bacteria; Pseudomonadati; Pseudomonadota; Gammaproteobacteria; Enterobacterales; Enterobacteriaceae.